GACGAACGCUGGCGGCGUGCUUAACACAUGCAAGUCGAACGGAAAGGCCCUGCUUUUGUGGGGUGCUCGAGUGGCGCACGGGUGAGUAACACGUGAGUAACCUGCCCUUUACUUUGUGAUAACUUCAGGAAACUGGGGCUAAUACCUGCUAGGAGCUCCUGCUGCAUGGUGGGGGUUGGAAAGUUUCGGCGGUUGGGGCUGGACUCGCGGCUUAUCAGCUUGUUGGUGGGGUAGUUGCUUACCAAGGCUUUGACGGGUAGCCGGCCUGAGAGGGUGAACGGCCACAUUGGGACUGAGAGACGGCCCAGACGCCUACGGGAGGCAGCAGUGGGGAAUAUUGCACAAUGGGCGGAAGCCUGAUGCAGCAACGCCGCGUGCGGGAUGACGGCCUUCGGGUUGUAAACCGCUGUCGCCUGUGACGAAGCGGGAGUGACGGUAAUGGGUAAAGAAGCACCGGCUAACUACGUG
Molecule: ribosomal RNA, 468 nt
Filed under: uncultured bacterium
Lineage: Bacteria
Description: partial 16S ribosomal RNA
Rfam family: Bacterial small subunit ribosomal RNA
Source: RNAcentral